Long non-coding RNA from Stegastes partitus (bicolor damselfish), 201 nucleotides. RefSeq lists it as uncharacterized. Lineage: Eukaryota; Metazoa; Chordata; Actinopteri; Pomacentridae. The transcript has 3 exons. The record is from RefSeq and is a predicted model, not a curated record.
UGUGCCUAUCAGACAGAGGGACCGGUCAAUGACUCCUCCUCUUUCUUUCAGCCGAUCUUCAGAUGGAAGGAUCCAGCAGCAGAGACCAGACUGUCCUGAACCCAGCUGUCUGUCCUUCAAGAGCGACUGGUUGAAGGAUGAAUUUAUUGUCUUUAAAGAUGUCCGUCCAUCUGCUGAUCAGAUAGUCCAGCAGCAGAGCUC